Molecule: ribosomal RNA, 226 nt
Filed under: uncultured bacterium
Lineage: Bacteria
Description: partial 16S ribosomal RNA
Rfam family: Bacterial small subunit ribosomal RNA
Source: RNAcentral
GCGUUGCUCGGUAUGACUGGGCGUAAAGGGCGCGUAGGCGGAUUGAUCCGUCGGACGUGAAAUUCCUGGGCUUAACCUGGGGGCUGCGUUUGAGACGGUUGGUCUAGAGUUUGGGAGAGGGUCGUGGAAUUCCCAGUGUAGAGGGGAAAUGCGUAGAUAUUGGGAAGAACCCCCGUGGCGAAGGCGGCGACCUGGUCCUGGACUGACGCUGAGGCGCGAAAGCGUG